RNAcentral lists this ribosomal RNA (254 nucleotides) under uncultured bacterium. RNAcentral describes it as "partial 16S ribosomal RNA". It matches the Rfam family "Bacterial small subunit ribosomal RNA", at positions 524 to 776 of the family's 1533-position model. The record is from RNAcentral.
GACGUAGGGCGCAAGCGUUGUCCGGAUUUAUUGGGCGUAAAGAGCUCGUAGGCGGCUUGUUGCGUCGACUGUGAAAACCCUUGGCUCAACCAUGUGGUCUGCAGUCGAUACGGGCAGGCUAGAAUUCGGUAGGGGAGACUGGAAUUCCUGGUGUAGCGGUGAAAUGCGCAGAUAUCAGGAGGAACACCGGUGGCGAAGGCGGGUCUCUGGGCCGAUAUUGACGCUGAGGAGCGAAAGCGUGGGGAGCGAACAGG